UACGUAGGGGGCAAGCGUUGUCCGGAUUUAUUGGGCGUAAAGAGCUCGUAGGCGGCUCGGUAAGUCAGGUGUGAAACCUCCAGGCUCAACCUGGAGACGCCACCUGAUACUGCUGUGGCUAGAGUCCGGUAGGGGAGCGUGGAAUUCCUGGUGUAGCGGUGAAAUGCGCAGAUAUCAGGAGGAACACCAGCGGCGAAGGCGGCGCUCUGGGCCGGAACUGACGCUGAGGAGCGAAAGCGUGGGUAGCAAACAGG
RNAcentral lists this ribosomal RNA (254 nucleotides) under uncultured bacterium. RNAcentral describes it as "partial 16S ribosomal RNA". It matches the Rfam family "Bacterial small subunit ribosomal RNA", at positions 524 to 776 of the family's 1533-position model. The record is from RNAcentral.